GACGAACGCUGGCGGCGUGCUUAACACAUGCCAGUCGAGCGGAAAGGCCCUUCGGGGUCCUCGAGCGGCGAACGGGUGAGUAACACGUGAGUAAUCUGCCCUUGGCUUUGGGAUAACUACCGGAAACGGUGGCUAAUACCGGAUACGACAACCGUCUGCAUGGGCUGGUUGUGGAAAGUUUUUUCGGCCAGGGAUGUGCUCGCGGCCUAUCAGCUUGUUGGUGGGGUAAUGGCCUAGCAAGGCUUCGACGGGUAGCCGGCCUGAGAGGGUGACCGGCCACAGUGGGACGGGGACACGGUACAGAGUCCUACGGGAGGCAGCAGUAGGGAAUAUUGCGGAGUGGGCGAGAGGCUGACGGAGCAACGACGCGUGUGUGAGGACGGUCUUAGGAUCGGAGAACUGGGUUAUGAGGGAAGAAGAGAGGUGUAAGUAACUGUGCACAUCUGGACGGUAACUAAUCAGAAAGCCACGGCUAACUACGUG
This 483-nucleotide ribosomal RNA is filed under the name uncultured bacterium. Its description in RNAcentral is "partial 16S ribosomal RNA". It matches the Rfam family "Bacterial small subunit ribosomal RNA", at positions 28 to 507 of the family's 1533-position model. The record is from RNAcentral.